Molecule: microRNA precursor, 168 nt
Filed under: Pelobates cultripes (western spadefoot toad)
Lineage: Eukaryota; Metazoa; Chordata; Amphibia; Anura; Pelobatidae
Source: RNAcentral
GCAGACACAUUCCAGCCAAUCAGCAGCAGACCCUCCCUCCCAGACCCUCCCACCUCCUGGACAGCAUCCAUUUUACAUUCAUUGUGAAGCUGCAUUCUUAGUGAGCUGUCCAGGAGGUGGGAGGGUCUGGGAGGGAGGGUCUGCUGCUGAUUGGUUGGAAUGUGUCUG